AUACGUAGGGGGCGAGCGUUGUCCGGAAUGAUUGGGCGUAAAGGGCGCGUAGGCGGCCCGGUAAGUCUGGAGUGAAAGUCCUGUUUUUAAGAUGGGAAUUGCUUUGGAUACUGUCGGGCUUGAGUGCAGGAGAGGUAAGUGGAAUUCCCAGUGUAGCGGUGAAUGCGUAGAGAUUGGGAGGAACACCAGUGGAGAAGGCGACUUACUGGACUGUAACUGACGCUGAGGCGCGAAAGUGUGGGGAGCAAACAGGAUUAGAUACCCUGGUAGUCCACACUGUAAACGAUGAAUGCUAGGUGUAGGGGGUAUCGACCCCUUCUGUGCCGCAGUCAACACAAUAAGCAUUCCGCCUGGGGAGUACGGCCGCAAGGUUGAAACUCAAAGGAAUUGACGGGG
RNAcentral lists this ribosomal RNA (396 nucleotides) under uncultured bacterium. RNAcentral's name for it is "partial 16S ribosomal RNA". It matches the Rfam family "Bacterial small subunit ribosomal RNA", at positions 523 to 918 of the family's 1533-position model. The record is from RNAcentral.